CCUACGGGAGGCAGCAGUGGGGAAUAUUGCACAAUGGGGGAAACCCUGAUGCAGCGACGCCGCGUGAGUGAAGAAGUAUUUCGGUAUGUAAAGCUCUAUCAGCAGGGAAGAAAAUGACGGUACCUGAUUAAGAAGCCCCGGCUAACUACGUGCCAGCAGCCGCGGUAAUACGUAGGGGGCAAGAGUUAUCCGGAUUUACUGGGUGUAAAGGGAGCGUAGACGGCAGCGCAAGUCUGAAGGGAAAUGCCGGGGCUUAACCCCGGAACUGCUUUGGAAACUGUGCAGCUAGAGUGCAGGAGAGGUAAGUGGAAUUCCUGGUGUAGCGGUGAAAUGCGUAGAUAUUAGGAGGAACACC
RNAcentral lists this ribosomal RNA (355 nucleotides) under uncultured bacterium. RNAcentral describes it as "partial 16S ribosomal RNA". It matches the Rfam family "Bacterial small subunit ribosomal RNA", at positions 338 to 710 of the family's 1533-position model. The record is from RNAcentral.